CUUGUAUCCGUGGACCUGAUUGCAUACGCAGAAAAUUUCCGGAGUUCUCAGGUGUGAAUUCAAGUAGUUACCAAGGAUUAUCUUCCUACAGAUGCAUGAUGUGAUGUUGGGGUUCAACAUCUAGUGGAUUCGUUUGUUCAUGGUGUUCUUACAGCGGUUCUCGUUGUGUGUUAAAGAGUCCUUGUAUCUUGUUAUGACUCGGGGACGCUUCGUUGUCUUGUACACUGCUUGUACAUGAUGGCUACUCUAAGAUAGAGCCCGUGCGAACCUUACCACGAAAAGAUUGGACGAAGUCUCUAUCGUAAAUUUGUUCUCGCUUUUACUGUAAGCUUCAUCCUUUGUUUUGUUGGACUACGGUAAUUCGAGUUGUUCAAUGUCAAGUGAUGAUUUCAUAUCUUUCCUAAGUGGUGUUCUCAUAUUUCUAUGGGAGUGCUAAUUAUUUCUUUUGCUCAAUCAAGUUUUCUUAUCAGUUCUUUUCAAAUC
This 483-nucleotide long non-coding RNA is filed under the name Hordeum vulgare. RNAcentral's name for it is "long non-coding RNA (HVUL_LNC009948)". The record is from RNAcentral. Lineage: Eukaryota; Viridiplantae; Streptophyta; Magnoliopsida; Poales; Poaceae.